UACGUAGGCAGCGAGCGUUGUUCGGAGUUACUGGGCGUAAAGAGUGCGUAGGCGGUUUUCUAAGUUUGGUGUGAAAUCUCCCGGCUUAACUGGGAGGGUGCGCCGAAGACUGGAAGGCUUGAGUAUGGGAGAGGUAAGCGGAAUUCCUGGUGUAGCGGUGAAAUGCGUAGAUAUCAGGAGGAACACCGGUGGUGUAGACGGCUUUCUGGACCGUAACUGACGCUGAAACACGAAAGCGUGGGUAGCAAACAGG
Molecule: ribosomal RNA, 253 nt
Filed under: uncultured bacterium
Lineage: Bacteria
Description: partial 16S ribosomal RNA
Rfam family: Bacterial small subunit ribosomal RNA
Source: RNAcentral